Molecule: unclassified non-coding RNA, 339 nt
Filed under: soil metagenome
Description: partial contains 5.8S ribosomal RNA, internal transcribed spacer 2, and large subunit ribosomal RNA
Rfam family: 5.8S ribosomal RNA (bases 1-120)
Source: RNAcentral
GAUGAAGAACGCAGCGAAAUGCGAUAAGUAGUGUGAAUUGCAGAAUUCAGUGAAUCAUCGAAUCUUUGAACGCACAUUGCGCCCCUUGGUAUUCCGGGAGGUAUGCCUGUUCGAGCGUCAUUUGUACCCUCAAGCUCUGCUUGGUGUUGGGUGUUUGUUCCGCCUCUGUGUGUGAACUCGCCUCAAAACAAUUGGCAGCCGGCGUACUUGUUUCGGAGCGCAGCACAUUUUGCGAUCCAGAUCAACGUACAGCGGCAUCCAAGAAGCCUUAUUUAACGCUCUUGACCUCGGAUCAGGUAGGGAUACCCGCUGAACUUAAGCAUAUCAAUAAGCGGAGGA